RNAcentral lists this long non-coding RNA (1384 nucleotides) under Cicer arietinum (chickpea). Its description in RNAcentral is "long non-coding RNA (CARI_LNC000067)". The record is from RNAcentral. Lineage: Eukaryota; Viridiplantae; Streptophyta; Magnoliopsida; Fabales; Fabaceae.
AAUAGUCGAAGCCAUAGCCAACACCAUCAUCAGGAAUGUCAGUGUUGUAAUAAAAAGGGACAGGAAGGGCAAGAUAGUCAUAUGCAGUGACAAGCUCUGGUAACCAACCAUCUGAACCCCUUCUAUAUAGAUAAAGUUUGCAUAUUUUAUUAAGACAUUUUCCUUCUAUCUCAAAUGAAACCGUUGUGCAUUGCUCAAAUGCUCCUGAAUCUGGUUCAUCCAGUCUUGGAGAAAAUACCUGCAUUUACUCUUUUACAUAAUUUCAUAAAUUUCACCAAAUUUAAAAAAUUAAUUACACUUAAUAACUUUUUUAAUAAUUAUAAAAGUAAUUAUUUUUAUUUAUAGUAGUAAUUGAAUAUAUAUUUCAACUAAUAUGUUACUUCUUUUAUAAGAGACUAAAAGUAAUAUAUUGAUGAUAUUUUUGUCAUUUAAUUCAAUUGUAAUUCGUCACCAUAUUAAAUAAUUAAAUAAUUAUUACUGAAUUAAGAAUUAAACAAUAUCAUAUAUAAAUUUUGGUUUUGAACUCUGAUCGGAGUACUGGAGAUUUAUAAAUUUUAGUAUAAAAAUUAUGUUUAAAGUCAAAAUCUAUACCAAUUCAAAAUACUAAUUUUAGCUUCAACUUACUUUUAAUAAAAAAUAAUUUUACGGAAUUAAUUUUUAUUACUGCCUAAUCAAAAUAUUUUCAUUAUAUGUGGUGAAAAUCUGAAUUUUUUUCAAAAGCAACAAUUAAUUAGAAACUGAGGGCGUAAUCAAUUAACAACAAAGUCACAAAUUUUAAAAUUAAUAUUAUUUGGUGCAACAAAAAUUGAAGAAGAAGAGAAACAUGUAUGGUAAAUUGUUGAUAAUAGAGAAAGGAAUGAAUUACCUCAGAGCCAUCAGCAUCUCCAAAUACAAUAUCAAUUUGAUCUGUUGUAUUUAAUGGAGAAUCGCAGCUUGUUUUUAUGGUGACCAGGUAAUUGCAGCUACUACUCUACAACAUAUGCAAAUAAAAUCAUAUUUAUAGUCUUUUAUUUAAGAUAUGCAAUUAAUCUAGGUACAUAAAACAUUCAUGUGUGCAGUGGCUAAACUUUAGGGGAAAAGAGAUACUAAUGAACUAAAAGUUUAAUGUUUUGAAUUAUAUAAUAAUAAUUAUAAUUUUAAUAAAGAGAAGAAUAUAUAAAAUUUAAUUACUUGUGAAUUGAUAUCAUUAAGCAUGGAAGGUUGGUUGAUUUGAGGUUUAUCUCGAGUGACCAUUGUUGGUGUUACCUGUGAGAAAACAACAAUUAUGGAGAAUGUGAAGAUUAAGGUAAGAGCUUUCAUUUUUCUUUUUGUUUCAAGUGAAGAGAAAGAUGAACACCUAAUUGGUUUUAGAUUUUGGCAGCUUCUAUUAUAGCAUUACAAAAAU